Molecule: transfer RNA, 22 nt
Filed under: Hemigraphis ridleyi
Lineage: Eukaryota; Viridiplantae; Streptophyta; Magnoliopsida; Lamiales; Acanthaceae
Also listed under: 1 other name
Description: partial tRNA-Leu
Source: RNAcentral
GGGUUCAAGUCCCUCUAUCCCC